This 206-nucleotide microRNA precursor is filed under the name Oryza brachyantha (malo sina). RNAcentral's name for it is "MIR812 microRNA precursor family". It matches the Rfam family "MIR812 microRNA precursor family". Lineage: Eukaryota; Viridiplantae; Streptophyta; Magnoliopsida; Poales; Poaceae. The record is from Rfam by way of RNAcentral.
AAUAAAGUUAUUUUUUAGUUUUUGGAUACAAUGUUUUGACUCUUCAUCUUAUUUAAAAUUUUUUAUGAUUAUAUUUUUAUUUUUACUAGAUCAUAAAAUAUAAAUAUUACUUUAUGCGUGACUAAUUUUUUUAAAUUUUUUUAUAAUUUUUCAAAUAAGAUGAAUAGUUAAAGCAUCGGACACAGAAAUCGAAAAAUAAAUCGAAA